GCUGGAGUGAGGACCAGAUAAAUUACUAAUUAUAGUACUACUUUUGGACCAGUUAUAAGAAGACGUAUCAAUCCAUGAGUCAUUGUGGAAAAGAAUAACAUGAUUGAGCAGCAGCCUGUGUCUGGGUAUAAUCAUGACCAACCCUUACAUUUCUUCAAUGCUUUGAGCUAAUCUGAGCGUUUCACAUAUAUUUUCUUAUUUUACCCAGAAUAGAAUGAGAGUGAUGAUGAAGAUGCUUCCAGAAACACGUUUUCAAGGAAGAAUAGUUGAGGGUUUCAAUCUCAGGAGUUCAACUCAGUCAUCUCAACUCUACCUUGAAAAAACCAUUCAUAAGAAGCCUGUUCUUUAAAAUCUUUUCCAGAUCAAGGCUGGGAGAAUAGCCCAGGGGCACAGAAUUUGCUUAGGAUGUACAUGGCCUUGGAUUUAAUUCUCAGCAUCACAAAACAA
Molecule: long non-coding RNA, 447 nt
Organism: Heterocephalus glaber (naked mole-rat)
Lineage: Eukaryota; Metazoa; Chordata; Mammalia; Rodentia; Bathyergidae
Source: Ensembl